ACUAUGAUGUGUUAUUUCCAAGCACAUACCUGACUACUUUUUGUGGAAACCUGCCUAUUUCUGAGU
RNAcentral lists this non-coding RNA (66 nucleotides) under Cariama cristata (Red-legged seriema). RNAcentral's name for it is "Small nucleolar RNA SNORD121A". It matches the Rfam family "Small nucleolar RNA SNORD121A", at positions 10 to 73 of the family's 82-position model. The record is from Rfam by way of RNAcentral. Lineage: Eukaryota; Metazoa; Chordata; Aves; Cariamiformes; Cariamidae.